This 469-nucleotide ribosomal RNA is filed under the name uncultured Alphaproteobacteria bacterium. Its description in RNAcentral is "bacterial SSU rRNA". It matches the Rfam family "Bacterial small subunit ribosomal RNA", at positions 9 to 524 of the family's 1533-position model. Lineage: Bacteria; Pseudomonadati; Pseudomonadota; Alphaproteobacteria. The record is from RNAcentral.
GAGUUUGAUCUUGGCUCAGAGCGAACGCUGGCGGCAGGCUUAACACAUGCAAGUCGAGCGGGCGUAGCAAUACGUCAGCGGCAGACGGGUGAGUAACGCGUGGGAACGUACCUUUGGUUCGGAACAACACAGGGAAACUUGUGCUAAUACCGGAUAAGCCCUUACGGGGAAAGAUUUAUCGCCGAAAGAUCGGCCCGCGUCUGAUUAGCUAGUUGGUGAGGUAAUGGCUCACCAAGGCGACGAUCAGUAGCUGGUCUGAGAGGAUGAUCAGCCACAUUGGGACUGAGACACGGCCCAAACUCCUACGGGAGGCAGCAGUGGGGAAUAUUGGACAAUGGGCGCAAGCCUGAUCCAGCCAUGCCGCGUGAGUGAUGAAGGCCCUAGGGUUGUAAAGCUCUUUGUGCGGGAAGAUAAUGACGGUACCGCAAGAAUAAGCCCCGGCUAACUUCGUGCCAGCCGCCGCAGUAAU